GUCCACGUCGGAUCGCAGGGCGUCCGUCACUGCACAGGAGACGCAUCCGCGACGUCCCUGUUAUAGAGCAGCCCGCUGACCUCGCUCCCUUGCAUUGCCAGACGGUGAUACAGGACCACAGAUUGUCGUCUCAUCUGAGACGACGCUUCCUUGCAAGUCAAUCCACUGCUGGAUGAGGACUACCCCCACCAACACCGAACGAGUCGUGGGGGUUGUUUAAUCACAAUUCACGACACCGAUCAAUGCAGGUUGGUGAAGGUCAGUAGCAUAGACGUGGAAGCAUAGUGCAGUACAACAAUGGAUUUUUCUGCACCGCCUUCUGGUGAAGGGUGUUGCUCGGGUACUUGCCUGCGUUUCCUGGCACACUGAGAAGCACCCCCAGGGAGAUGAAUAUCGGGUAGGUGACCACCACUCCAAAGUUAACCAGAACGUUGAACACUGAAAAUCAAACAAAACACCAUCACAACGUUUUUGGAGCAAAGUCAAGUGAGCAAUAAACACAUUUUAAAAUAUCAA
Petromyzon marinus (sea lamprey) is the source of this 516-nucleotide long non-coding RNA. RefSeq lists it as uncharacterized. NCBI's taxonomy places the organism in Eukaryota, Metazoa, Chordata, Hyperoartia, Petromyzontiformes, Petromyzontidae. The record is from RefSeq and is a predicted model, not a curated record.